CACUAGUACGAGAGGACCGUGUUGGACGAACCGCUGGUUUAUCGGUUAUGCCGCCAGGCGUAUUGCCGAGUAGCUACGUUCGGUUGAGAUAAGUGCUGAAAGCAUCUAAGUACGAAGCUUGCCUCAAGAUUAGAUCUCAUUAUAAGGGUGGUUAUAGACGAUGACCUUGAUAGGCUACAGGUGUAAAGGCGGUGACGUCAUAGCCGAGUAGUACUAAUUGCCCGAAAGUUUUUGCCUG
RNAcentral lists this ribosomal RNA (238 nucleotides) under Porphyromonas sp. RNAcentral describes it as "partial 23S ribosomal RNA". It matches the Rfam family "Bacterial large subunit ribosomal RNA", at positions 2676 to 2925 of the family's 2925-position model. The record is from RNAcentral. Lineage: Bacteria; Pseudomonadati; Bacteroidota; Bacteroidia; Bacteroidales; Porphyromonadaceae.